CCGAGCUGUCCCCGCUCAGCUCCCAAGUGAACCCACCGCAUUUUCCUUAUAUGAUCGGGCUCCCGUUUGGUGCUGAGAGCCUGAAGUGAUUAUAGAACCGCCGGCACAGGGGAUGGGAGGCUCGGGGUCGGGCCG
Molecule: small nucleolar RNA, 135 nt
Filed under: Notamacropus eugenii (tammar wallaby)
Lineage: Eukaryota; Metazoa; Chordata; Mammalia; Diprotodontia; Macropodidae
Description: small Cajal body-specific RNA 17 (ENSMEUG00000018173.1)
Source: RNAcentral